Long non-coding RNA from Panonychus citri (citrus red mite), 615 nucleotides. RefSeq lists it as uncharacterized. The record is from RefSeq and is a predicted model, not a curated record. Lineage: Eukaryota; Metazoa; Arthropoda; Arachnida; Trombidiformes; Tetranychidae. The transcript has 2 exons.
CACAACGAUUACCUUGUUUUUGCUAAUUGUUAACGAGCUCAUUGCCUGACCAGUUUUUGAUGAGUGAACAUCAAACAUGUACUUAUUGUGUUUAUUUGAAACAAAGUGUUAAUUAUUUAACUGAAAGUCACAAAGGUAAAAGGAAAAUGAAUCCAGAUUUCAAUUCAAAGUAGUAAAUUAAUUAAAACAAAAAACAUUAACCAAAUAAGUAAAUUAUGAACAUCAUGUAAUCAACAAAUUGAGUUAAAUUUAAAUGAGUGAGUUAUGGUGAACUCAACAAAGGUCAUAAAAGGACAAACCAUCAAGGAAAAGUCAAUUCUGUCUAUGGCAAAGAACUAAAUCUAUUAAAUACCAAGUCAAAUGGCGGCGCAAUUAAGAGAACCCAAUCAAAUCAAUCAAAAUGGUGGACAAAUGAAAUUAUUGAGCUUGGAAAAAGCAUCAAUAAUACUCAGAAUUUAUAUCAAUAAUAAUAUGUAACUCUUUCAAAUUGUAAUUUGAAAAGCCAGAAGGCACUUUGAGAGAUAAUCAUGACAAGAUUAUCUAGAAGUUUUCACCUAAACUGUUGGUUAUAUUUCAGUUUUAAAUAAAAACCACUAGGUUGUAAUUAAAAGCUAA